AUUGAACGCUGGCGGCAGGCUUAACACAUGCAAGUCGAACGAGUGGCGGACGGGUGAGUAAUGUCUGGGAAACUGCCUGCUGGAGGGGGAUAACUAUUGGAACCGGUAGCUAAUACCGCAUACCAUAAGAUGCGCCCAGAUGGGAUAAGCUUGUUGGUGGGGUAACGGCUCACCAGGACGACGCUCCCUCGCUGGUGUGAGAGGAUUACCAGCAACACUGGAAAAAAGACACGUUCCAGACUCCUACGGAGGACAGCAGUGGGACAAAUUGCAGAAAGUGCACAAGCCUGAUGCAGCCAUUCCACAUGUAUGAAGAGAGCCUUCAGGUUGUAAGGUACUUACAGCGCGGAGGCGUUACCCGCAGAAGAAGCACCGGCUAACUCCGUGCCAGCCGCCGCGGUAAUUC
Molecule: ribosomal RNA, 406 nt
Filed under: uncultured bacterium
Lineage: Bacteria
Description: partial 16S ribosomal RNA
Rfam family: Bacterial small subunit ribosomal RNA
Source: RNAcentral